RNA transcript from Eremothecium gossypii ATCC 10895, 618 nucleotides. It is a transcript of the gene named external transcribed spacer copy 1, with no coding region annotated. The record is from RefSeq. The transcript has a single exon. NCBI's taxonomy places the organism in Eukaryota, Fungi, Ascomycota, Saccharomycetes, Saccharomycetales, Saccharomycetaceae.
AUGCGAAAGCAGUUGAAGACAAACAGAAAGAAGUCUGGAAACAGAGUUCGAGUAGGUUUGUGCAGUUCGUAAGAGCUCAAUGGCCUCGUCGAGCGGUGGAGAGAGUCGCUAAGGGAUCGUCAGAUACCUUAGUCUCUAUACAGCGCAAGACAUGGGUGAUGGCGGGUUUGUUCUAUGCAAAGUCAUUGGGUUUCCCUCUGGCGGCGCAUACAACACCUGCCUAACCUGAACAGUCUCAUCCUGGGCAUCUAGCGAUCCCAUGGGUGAGCAGCGGAGGAUUUGGUGGAUUACUAGCCAAUGGCAAUCCAAACCAAAGAAACCGACUUGGGGGAAUGCCUCAUUGAAUAGCCGGUGUUUCGACACUGUGAUUCUCUGAGUGUAACCUCCUCUUUGGUUGCCGAUAUUAAACCUGUUCUGUGAAACAUCGGAGCGGUGUUUAGUGGAAAGCAACUAGAGGAACUCAAAGAGUGCUAUGGCAUGGGGGCAGCUGUUGCGAAGGUGUAAAAACCCGAGCUCCGGUUCGCUUGACACAGAAGUUACUUUCUGUAUCUCUAUCAGUCUAUCACCGAAGGACCCGUGGUGUGCUUUGCGCAUUUUCGGGUUGUUCUUUAAGAUAGU